This 381-nucleotide ribosomal RNA is filed under the name uncultured bacterium. RNAcentral's name for it is "bacterial SSU rRNA". It matches the Rfam family "Bacterial small subunit ribosomal RNA", at positions 30 to 416 of the family's 1533-position model. The record is from RNAcentral.
AUUGAACGCUGGCGGUAGGCCUAACACAUGCAAGUCGAACGCGAAAGUCCUUCGGGAUGAGUAGAGUGGCGGACGGGUGAGUAACGCGUAGGAAUCUAUCCUGUAGUGGGGGAUAACGUUUCGAAGGAACGCUAAUACCGCAUACGCCCCAAGGGGAAAGCGGGGGAUCUUCGGACCUCGUGCUAUAGGAGGAGCCUGCGUCGGAUUAGCUAGUUGGUGAGGUAAAGGCUCACCAAGGCGACGAUCCGUAGCUGGUCUGAGAGGAUGAUCAGCCACACCGGAACUGAGACACGGUCCGGACUCCUACGGGAGGCAGCAGUGGGGAAUAUUGCGCAAUGGGCGAAAGCCUGACGCAGCCAUACCGCGUGUGUGAAGAAGGCC